This 342-nucleotide long non-coding RNA is filed under the name Solanum tuberosum (potato). RNAcentral's name for it is "long non-coding RNA (STUB_LNC008520)". Lineage: Eukaryota; Viridiplantae; Streptophyta; Magnoliopsida; Solanales; Solanaceae. The record is from RNAcentral.
GCAGAUAAGAAAUAGGAAAGUGGAAAAAAUAGCAAAAGGAAAGUGGGAAAAUGGAGAUUGUCUUCAACUCCUCUUGCUGCCUAACAUCGUAUCUUCUAUAACUCUCAAUUGAUGUUUUGUCUUUGUGCUUAGAUUUGACCUUUUCUAGUAGAUCUAUCUCAUUUUAAAUCAUCUUGUGUCUUCUCAUCCUAAUAUCAGUUACUCAAAUCUAAUUAUAAGUGGGUUGAAUCCAACCAAGGGAUUAAUAAUUCGCUGAUUUUGGUGAAUGAUGCAGUGAAGAACUUGUGAAUGAUUUUGUCGACUUCAUCUUCGAUCCCCUCCUUAGGCUGCUGCAUAACCAGG